UGAAAGCUGUCCUUCAUGACAACAGAACCCACAACAACCAUGACUUUUAUCACCAUCUUCAUCUGGACUCUUGCUUUAUUCAUACAAGAAUCCAGAGGACAGUACACUGUGACUCAGAUUCCUACAGUGAAAGCUGUUCUCCCAGGACAGACAGUCUCUCUGAACUGUAAAACCAGCAGUAAUGUGUAUUCUAAUAAUCUCUUAGCCUGGUACCAGCAGAAACCUGGAGGAGCUCCUAAACUCCUUAUUUACCGUGCUACAACACUUCAGUCUGGGACUCCAUCUAGAUUCAGUGGUAGUGGAUCUGGGAGUGACUUCACUCUGACCAUCAGUGGAGUCCAGGCUGAAGAUGCAGGAGAUUACUACUGUCAGAGUGCACACCAUGUAAGUGCCUGGGUGUUCACAGAGUGAUACAGAGCCGUACAA
Molecule: non-coding RNA, 426 nt
Organism: Salmo salar (Atlantic salmon)
Lineage: Eukaryota; Metazoa; Chordata; Actinopteri; Salmoniformes; Salmonidae
Source: the annotation of a RefSeq genome assembly